Molecule: ribosomal RNA, 1486 nt
Filed under: Staphylococcus aureus
Lineage: Bacteria; Bacillati; Bacillota; Bacilli; Caryophanales; Staphylococcaceae
Description: bacterial SSU rRNA
Rfam family: Bacterial small subunit ribosomal RNA
Source: RNAcentral
UUUAUGGAGAGUUUGAUCCUGGCUCAGGAUGAACGCUGGCGGCGUGCCUAAUACAUGCAAGUCGAGCGAACGGACGAGAAGCUUGCUUCUCUGAUGUUAGCGGCGGACGGGUGAGUAACACGUGGAUAACCUACCUAUAAGACUGGGAUAACUUCGGGAAACCGGAGCUAAUACCGGAUAAUAUUUUGAACCGCAUGGUUCAAAAGUGAAAGACGGUCUUGCUGUCACUUAUAGAUGGAUCCGCGCUGCAUUAGCUAGUUGGUAAGGUAACGGCUUACCAAGGCAACGAUGCAUAGCCGACCUGAGAGGGUGAUCGGCCACACUGGAACUGAGACACGGUCCAGACUCCUACGGGAGGCAGCAGUAGGGAAUCUUCCGCAAUGGGCGAAAGCCUGACGGAGCAACGCCGCGUGAGUGAUGAAGGUCUUCGGAUCGUAAAACUCUGUUAUUAGGGAAGAACAUAUGUGUAAGUAACUGUGCACAUCUUGACGGUACCUAAUCAGAAAGCCACGGCUAACUACGUGCCAGCAGCCGCGGUAAUACGUAGGUGGCAAGCGUUAUCCGGAAUUAUUGGGCGUAAAGCGCGCGUAGGCGGUUUUUUAAGUCUGAUGUGAAAGCCCACGGCUCAACCGUGGAGGGUCAUUGGAAACUGGAAAACUUGAGUGCAGAAGAGGAAAGUGGAAUUCCAUGUGUAGCGGUGAAAUGCGCAGAGAUAUGGAGGAACACCAGUGGCGAAGGCGACUUUCUGGUCUGUAACUGACGCUGAUGUGCGAAAGCGUGGGGAUCAAACAGGAUUAGAUACCCUGGUAGUCCACGCCGUAAACGAUGAGUGCUAAGUGUUAGGGGGUUUCCGCCCCUUAGUGCUGCAGCUAACGCAUUAAGCACUCCGCCUGGGGAGUACGACCGCAAGGUUGAAACUCAAAGGAAUUGACGGGGACCCGCACAAGCGGUGGAGCAUGUGGUUUAAUUCGAAGCAACGCGAAGAACCUUACCAAAUCUUGACAUCCUUUGACAACUCUAGAGAUAGAGCCUUCCCCUUCGGGGGACAAAGUGACAGGUGGUGCAUGGUUGUCGUCAGCUCGUGUCGUGAGAUGUUGGGUUAAGUCCCGCAACGAGCGCAACCCUUAAGCUUAGUUGCCAUCAUUAAGUUGGGCACUCUAAGUUGACUGCCGGUGACAAACCGGAGGAAGGUGGGGAUGACGUCAAAUCAUCAUGCCCCUUAUGAUUUGGGCUACACACGUGCUACAAUGGACAAUACAAAGGGCAGCGAAACCGCGAGGUCAAGCAAAUCCCAUAAAGUUGUUCUCAGUUCGGAUUGUAGUCUGCAACUCGACUACAUGAAGCUGGAAUCGCUAGUAAUCGUAGAUCAGCAUGCUACGGUGAAUACGUUCCCGGGUCUUGUACACACCGCCCGUCACACCACGAGAGUUUGUAACACCCGAAGCCGGUGGAGUAACCUUUUAGGAGCUAGCCGUCGAAGGUGGGA